CCUACGGGAGGCAGCAGUGAGGAAUAUUGGUCAAUGGACGAGAGUCUGAACCAGCCAAGUAGCGUGAAGGAUGACUGCCCUAUGGGUUGUAAACUUCUUUUAUAUGGGAAUAAAAUGUUCCACGUGUGGGAUUUUGUAUGUACCAUAUGAAUAAGGAUCGGCUAACUCCGUGCCAGCAGCCGCGGUAAUACGGAGGAUCCGAGCGUUAUCCGGAUUUAUUGGGUUUAAAGGGAGCGUAGGUGGAUUGUUAAGUCAGUUGUGAAAGUUUGCGGCUCAACCGUAAAAUUGCAGUUGAAACUGGCAGUCUUGAGUACAGUAGAGGUGGUCGGAAUUCGUGGUGUAGCGGUGAAAUGCUUAGAUAUCACGAAGAACUCCGAUUGCGAAGGCAGCUCACUGGACUGUGACUGACGUUGAGGCCCGAAGGCGUGGGGAGCAAACAGGAUUAGAUACCCCAGUAGUC
This 460-nucleotide ribosomal RNA is filed under the name uncultured bacterium. RNAcentral's name for it is "partial 16S ribosomal RNA". It matches the Rfam family "Bacterial small subunit ribosomal RNA", at positions 338 to 795 of the family's 1533-position model. The record is from RNAcentral.